This 73-nucleotide transfer RNA is filed under the name Streptomyces mutabilis. Lineage: Bacteria; Bacillati; Actinomycetota; Actinomycetes; Kitasatosporales; Streptomycetaceae. The record is from RNAcentral.
GCGACCUGUCCGGCGGACUGGACUCCACCUCCGUCUGCUUCCUGGCCGCCCGCUCCACCGCGUCCGUGGUGGC